Molecule: long non-coding RNA, 578 nt
Organism: Frankliniella occidentalis (western flower thrips)
Lineage: Eukaryota; Metazoa; Arthropoda; Insecta; Thysanoptera; Thripidae
Exons: 2
Source: RefSeq, a predicted model, not a curated record
GCGUUGCUGAUUACAUACAUUUACCAGGAUGGACUGUAGAAAAACCAUGGGUUUGUGCUCAGUGCUCCCGAGCAUACAAGUGGCAUCGAUCUUUAGCCAGCCAUCAAAGAACUGAGUGUGGGAGGGAGCCUCAAAUCAGCUGUGGAUUGUGUGGCUAUUCAACCAAAGUCAAAUCAAAUCUAAAUAGACAUAUGAGGAAAUAUCACCAAUUUUAAAAACCUUAUUUCAUCCCCGGUCCGGUUUGGAUGGUCGUGGACUGGAUGCUGUCACAUGUCCAACACCAGGCUGUAACCGCAAAUACUACUGGAAAAAUUCUCUUGCGCGUCAUCUUCGGGAGGAAUGCGGUCUGGAACCAAGAUUCCAAUGCCCCCAGUGCCCAUACCGAACAAAACAGAAAGCCCCUAUGUUACGCCAUAUAAGGAUAAAACACAAAGAUCCUUUUUCUGAACCUUGUUUCGUCGCUCAAUAAUGAAACAAACAGGGCAAUUCUUCUUAUUGUUAAUUAAUCUGUCUGUAUGGCUUGAAGUUCUGUUCUGUUACAAAUUCUGUAUUGCUAUGAAAUAAAUAUUUUCCAAACA